GAUGAACGCUGGCUACAGGCUUAACACAUGCAAGUCGAGGGGAAACGACGGGGAAGCUUGCUUCCCCGGGCGUCGACCGGCGCACGGGUGAGUAACGCGUAUCCAACCUGCCUCUGACUGAGGGAUAACCCGUCGAAAGUCGGCCUAAUACCUCAUGGCAUCGUCUGCGGGCAUCCAACGACGAUUAAAGAUUCCAUCGGUCAGGGAUGGGGAUGCGUCUGAUUAGCUUGUUGGCGGGGUAACGGCCCACCAAGGCUACGAUCAGUAGGUGUUCUGAGAGGAAGGUCCCCCACAUUGGAACUGAGACACGGUCCAAACUCCUACGGGAGGCAGCAGUGAGGAAUAUUGGUCAAUGGGCGGGGGCCUGAACCAGCCAAGUAGCGUGCAAGAUGACGGCCCUAUUGGUUGUAAACUGCUUUUAUGCGGGGAUAAAGUGAUGGACGUGUCCUUCAUUGCAGGUACCGAAUGAAUAAGGACCGGCUAAUUCCGUG
This 491-nucleotide ribosomal RNA is filed under the name uncultured bacterium. RNAcentral describes it as "partial 16S ribosomal RNA". It matches the Rfam family "Bacterial small subunit ribosomal RNA", at positions 28 to 507 of the family's 1533-position model. The record is from RNAcentral.